This 496-nucleotide ribosomal RNA is filed under the name uncultured bacterium. RNAcentral describes it as "partial 16S ribosomal RNA". It matches the Rfam family "Bacterial small subunit ribosomal RNA", at positions 28 to 506 of the family's 1533-position model. The record is from RNAcentral.
GAUGAACGCUGGCGGCGUGCCUAAUACAUGCAAGUCGAGCGAACAGAUGAGGAGCUUGCUCCUCUGACGUUAGCGGCGGACGGGUGAGUAACACGUGGAUAACCUACCUAUAAGACUGGGAUAACUUCGGGAAACCGGAGCUAAUACCGGAUAAUAUAUUGAACCGCAUGGUUCAAUAGUGAAAGACGGUUUUGCUGUCACUUAUAGAUGGAUCCGCGCCGCAUUAGCUAGUUGGUAAGGUAACGGCUUACCAAGGCAACGAUGCGUAGCCGACCUGAGAGGGGGAUCGGCCACACUGGAACUGAGACACGGUCCAGACUCCUACGGGAGGCAGCAGUAGGGAAUCUUCCGCAAUGGGCGAAAGCCUGACGGAGCAACGCCGCGUGAGUGAUGAAGGUCUUCGGAUCGUAAAACUCUGUUAUUAGGGAAGAACAAAUGUGUAAGUAACUAUGCACGUCUGGACGGUACCUAAGCAGAAAGCCACGGCUAACUACGU